ACUGCUCAGUAACACGUGGAUAACCUGCCCUGCGGUGGGAAAUAACCCCGGGAAACUGGGGAUAAUGUCCCAUAGGCUACAGAUGCUGGAAUGCUCUGUAACUCAAAGAUUUAUCGCCACAGGAUGGGUCUGCGGCCGAUUAGGUAGUUGUUGGGGUAACGGCCCAACAAGCCUUUGAUCGGUACGGGUUGUGGGAGCAAGAGCCCGGAGAUGGAUUCUGAGACACGAAUCCAGGCCCUACGGGGCGCAGCAGGCGCGAAAACUUUACAAUGCGGGAAACCGUGAUAAGGGAACUCCGAGUGUCCGUAAAUGCGGACUGUCCGUAUGUCUAAAAAGCAUGCGAAGAAAGGGCCGGGCAAGACCGGUGCCAGCCGCCGCGGUAAUACCGGCGGCUCGAGUGGUGGCCACUAUUAUUGGGCUUAAAGCGUUCGUAGCUGGAUCGUUAAGUCUCUUGGGAAAUCUACCGGCUUAACCGAUAGGCGUCCAAGGGAUACUGGCGAUCUAGGGACCGGGAGAGGUGAGGGGUACUUCAGGGGUAGGAGUGAAAUCCUGUAAUCCUUGGGGGACCACCUGUGGCGAAGGCGCCUCACCAGAACGGCUCCGACAGUGAGGGACGAAAGCUGGGGGAGCAAACCGGAUUAGAUACCCGGGUAGUCCCAGCCGUAAACGAUGCGCGUUAGGUGUAUCGAUGACCACGAGUCAUCGAGGUGCCGAAGGGAAACCGUGAAACGCGCCGCCUGGGAAGUACGGUCGCAAGGCUGAAACUUAAAGGAAUUGGCGGGGGAGCA
RNAcentral lists this ribosomal RNA (788 nucleotides) under uncultured archaeon. RNAcentral describes it as "bacterial SSU rRNA". It matches the Rfam family "Archaeal small subunit ribosomal RNA", at positions 85 to 878 of the family's 1478-position model. The record is from RNAcentral.